This 685-nucleotide ribosomal RNA is filed under the name uncultured Allobosea sp. Its description in RNAcentral is "bacterial SSU rRNA". It matches the Rfam family "Bacterial small subunit ribosomal RNA", at positions 864 to 1533 of the family's 1533-position model. The record is from RNAcentral. Lineage: Bacteria; Pseudomonadati; Pseudomonadota; Alphaproteobacteria; Hyphomicrobiales; Alloboseaceae.
GCACCCCGCCUGGGAGUACGGUCGCAAGAUUAAAACUCAAAGGAAUGACGGGGGCCCGCACAAGCGGUGGAGCAUGUGGUUAAUUNGACGCAACGCGCAGAACCUUACCAGCUUUUGACAUGUCCGGUUGCAUCGGCAGAGAUGCCUUUCUUCAGUUCGGCUGGCCGGAACACAGGUGCUGCAUGGCUGUCGUCAGCUCGUGUCGUGAGAUGUUGGGUUAAGUCCCGCAACGAGCGCAACCCUCGCCCCUAGUUGCCAUCAUUCAGUUGGGAACUCUAGGGGGACUGCCGGUGAUAAGCCGCGAGGAAGGUGGGGAUGACGUCAAGUCCUCAUGGCCCUUACAGGCUGGGCUACACACGUGCUACAAUGGCGGUGACAAUGGGCAGCGAAGGGGUGACCUGGAGCUAAUCCCAAAAAGCCGUCUCAGUUCAGAUUGUACUCUGCAACUCGAGUACAUGAAGGUGGAAUCGCUAGUAAUCGUGGAUCAGCAUGCCACGGUGAAUACGUUCCCGGGCCUUGUACACACCGCCCGUCACACCAUGGGAGUUGGGUUUACCCGAAGGCGUCGCGCUAACCGCAAGGAGGCAGGCGACCACGGUAGGCUCAGCGACUGGGGUGAAGUCGUAACAAGGUAGCCGUAGGGGAACCUGCGGCUGGAUCACCUCCUUAAGCUUGGAUACCCGGG